RNAcentral lists this long non-coding RNA (1016 nucleotides) under Fragaria vesca (wild strawberry). RNAcentral describes it as "long non-coding RNA (FVES_LNC004300)". Lineage: Eukaryota; Viridiplantae; Streptophyta; Magnoliopsida; Rosales; Rosaceae. The record is from RNAcentral.
GAUUAUAAUAAGAAUUUUACCGUCUCGAUCAUUGAGUAAAUAGUUUAAUUGGUCCCUAGAGGGGUUUCGGGGACAAUUAUGUGCGGAGGAUUAUUCGUAUGAGGAAAAUACGACGACGGUAAAAAUAGUAAAUUUUAGCUAGUAAAAGGUAAUUUUUAUUCGGGUAUUAUUUUUCGGGGUGUUGAAUUUUGGAAUUAUGGGUUAAAAGGGGUGUUGGGUCGGCUGGGCCGAGCCCAACCCAUUUCUUCUUCUUUCUCUUCUCCCUCCCUCCCGAUUUUUCUUCUCCUCCCACCCGAUUUUCUUCUCUCUACACCCAGCAGAUUUCCGGCCGUCCUCCCGCCGCCGUCCGACCUCCGUUCGCCGCCGGACCGGUCCCGUUCGGUCGGUCUCCCUCCCAGCAACAUUUCUAGACCGGUGAGAGGAGCCCUAGCGCCGCCGUGAGAGAGCGGUGCCGCCCGAAAGCAAGGGCUGCCCCGAGCUUCCCUUCACCGGAACUUCUUCCUCCGGCCACCAAUCCGGGCAAGCUUGGUAUGGUUUUGUAGCCCUCCAACCCAGCAACCUUGCCCUAAAAGGACUCACUCCCUCUUGAGCUAGGUAAGGAGAAAUUUGAGGUGGAAGUUUUAUGGUGUUUUUGAUGUUUUUAGUCGAUUGCCCUAGUUAGGCUUGGAAUUGGUGUUUGUGCUAGUUAUGAAAGUUGUAGAGCUUGAUGAGAGGAAGAUGCUGUUAAAAUUUCAUAGGUUUUGGAGGUCGCCGGAAUUGACCUCCGGCCGCCGCUGCCGGCGGAGCCGCCGGCGGCGCCGCCGCCGGUUGGGAGAUUUUUAAAUGUUGUUAAAUUUGGAAUAUUAAGGGGAGUUUAUUGAAGUGAGUUAUGGAAUUUUGGAUGAGUUUUGGAUAGGUUUAUGAAUUUCCGAAGUGUGGUAUUUUUGGCGGGUAAUUAAUGUAGAAUCCGGCCGUUGGAUUUAAGUCGUAUUUUGGAGAGGUUGUAUUUACGACUGUUGAGUAUGAUAUUUAAGUUC